ACCGUUGAGCACACAGCUGAGGCCACAGCCGAACAUGAAAGUGGCUUGUGUUUGUGAGCCAGGGUUCCCGCAGCUCCUGCAGUUGUGGUAUUUAUUCUUUGGAAGCAACUUACUGGCCACUCAUAUGAGAUUUGAACUAUCUCGUCAUACUUCAUGUAGAGAGUGUCUCUCACACAUUUUUUCUGUGGCUCAGAACAUCAUUUUAAUGGUUACAGCAUGUAGCCAGAUGCCUUCCAAGGCUUAUUUUGGGAUGUAAUUCUAGUACAUGAAUUUGUAAAACAUGAUUUAUAAAAGCUGCCAUGGUCUUACUGAGGCAAUCAGACGCUCUCUGUAGAGGCAGGGACAUACACAUCUCUGUACGAAGUCUUUUACCGACCAGAGUGGAGGGUGACUUUAAUGAGAGUUAAGGAAAAAAAACUGGGCUUAAAACAUUUAAUGAUUACUAUAUGAAAACAAAAAUGUGUUUUUUUGCAGAAAACAGUGCAGUAAUUUUAAUCUAGUACCUGAAUACGUUGUUUCUCGUCUUUAAAAUGUGAGUGUUAAUCAUCUGAUUUUAUAUAUCUUUUAAGGUCGUACCUAAAAUAUAUUAAAAAAAAACUCUUACAAUUCAAGAAUAAAAAGACAAUCCAAUUUGAACAUGGGCAAACACUCAGAAUAUUUCUACAAAGAAGUGCCGGUGCCCAGUCAAAUCGGACAGAAGUGCUCAGCAUCUGUAGUAACUGGGCAAAGUUGAAACCACAAAAAAUUAAAACCGCUUCACACUCACUGGGAUUGAAAAGGCAGAUAAUAACAAGUGUGGGUGAGGAUGUAGAGAGAUUGGAACGUCCAUACUCUGCUGGUGAGGGUGUGAAUUGGUGCAGCCGCUUUGGAAAAUCGUUUUUCCAGUUUUCUGACAGUUUCUUAAGAAGUUUAAACAUAGGAUGACCACAUGACCCAGAAAUUCCAGCCCUAGGUAUACCCUCCAGAAAAAUGAAAGUAUUUGUUCACACAAAAACUUGUGCAUGAGUGUUUAUUAACGGCAUUACUCAGAAUAGCUAAAAGGCAGAAACAGCAUAGAUGUCCACCAGCUGAUGAAUGUUGUGUGUUCCUGCAGCAUGAGAAGUGUUCAGCCAUCAAAGGAAAGAAACACGGAUUCAUGAUGCAGCUGAGAUUAAUUCUGAAAAUAUGCUAAGUGAAGGAAGUCAGUCACAGCCUCGGUUGAAUGAUUCCAUCUAUAUGAAAAGUCUAAACCAGGCAAACCUAUGAAGACAGAAGGUGGAGUAGUGGUUGGUUAGGGCUGGGGAAGGGGAUGCUGGAAUUUGGGAGCUAUGGCUAAAGGGUUUGGAGUGAUGAAUAUAUUCAGAAAUUGCACAUAUCUGUUAAAAAACCAGCAGAGCAUUAAAUUGUAUACUUUGAAUGGGUAAAUUGUAUGGUUAUGAAUUGUAUCUCAAGAAGGUUGUAAUUAAAACCAUCAUUUGAUUUUUACUUGCUUUAGAAGAAAAUUUUGUAUUUCUUUUUCUUCUCCCCCCCCUACUUUUUAGGGCCACAGUCAUGGCAUAUGGAGGUUCCCAGGCUAGGGGUCCAACUGGAGCUACAGCUGCCAGCCUACACCACAGCCACAGCCACGCCAGAUCCAAGCCACGUCUGUAACCUACACCACAUCUCAUGACAACACAGGAUCCCCAACCCACUGAGUGAGGCCAGGGAUCGAACCCACCUCCUCAUGGUUCCUACACUGGAUUGUUUCCUCUGCGCCACAAUGGGAACUCUUUUUUAAAAAUUGUUUUUAUUUCUUCAUUCUCCUAUGGAAAAGUUCCUUUGCAACGACCAGGCAUGUUGGACUCUUUGCAGAGCCAGGCAAAUGCGGUGUAUUUCCUUUUCCCAGCCUUUGUUUACCUUGUCCCCUUGUCUGGAGUGUUUUUCUCUCUCAUCCUCUGAGGUUCUGCAGUAAUGCUCUUUCUUCUGGGAAACCUUCCCUGAUGAGCCUGCUGGCAUACUUUCUCCUGGUGCUCUCACAGCACUCACUGGUAGCUGCCAUCUCCUCAGUGUUGCUCAGACGGGCCCCUUCAAUAUUAUGUAGCCCCAACCCAUCCUUUCCUGGGUGAGAGAGCCCACACACAGGGGGGAGGACGGCUUGAGAGCAAGCUUUCAGUUCUUCCUGGACUCUUGAAGCCGUGAGGGCUUUGCUCGUGGCCUCAAGGGGGUCGCACACAACUGCCUGGGAGUAAGAUCUCAGGUCUUCCUAGACUCUUGAGGCCAUGAGGGCUAUGCGCCAACCCCCAAACAUGAACAAGGGGAAGAAAGUCCAUUUUAGUCUUCAUUUUGUCCUUAUAAGAUCAUCUUCUUUGCUUUGAUAUGCUGGAAGUUUCUGGCUUGUGUGUGGGACCAUAGAAGUGGUUAUCAGAGCCGAGGCCUAUCUGGGUACCAGAAGGCCUUGGAAAAGCCAGGCCAGUUGAAAGCUUUAGGCCAGAUUUGGAUUUCAGCCCCGCAGAUGUAUCACACACUUCCCUCCUAUUACAAGUAAAGACAUGUGUACUUCAUGGUGAUGCUGAGUUUAAAGGGGGGUUGCUUCUGUCUGAGACAGCACCCUGGAUCUUGUAUAACUUCUCUCUUGCAUCGUAUCAAAAUCGUGAUUUAUACAUGACGUGGCUUAUGUAAAGAGGACUUUGAAGUGAAAGGUAGUAAAAUGAGAUGACGGACAAGAGGAGAAAAGAGAAUGGCAUAGGCUUUAUGAGAAUUCGUUUUUCAUCCAGUUAACCACUUAGAUGUUGGGAGAACACGUUGAACUUGAGGAGGUCUCGUUCUUGGACCUGUGGUAGUGAACGUGGUCUUUUCUGCAUCCCCAGGGAAAUGAUGAGUUUAAAGUAAACAAUAGCUCCUUGUCUCAUGUCACUGCUAUCAAAGUGCAUUAUAAACAGGAAAGUUUUUGGAAAUUGCCAUACAGAGCUUAUAAGAAUUAUAGUAGAUCGGCAUAUUCUCAACUCGGUUUAAAAUUUAUUUUUCAGGUUCUCCUGUAUCCUUAAUGCUGGACUUAGAGCCACCAGCAGUUAAUAAAAUGGGUGCAUGAGAUUGUCUCUGUCUUUGAAAACACUGCACUUUCUUUUAUGCUGUUGCCUGCUCCAGCAUGAUCAGCAGUCCGGGGAGGUGGCUGCUCUUGGCAUGGGGUGUUCUGUCCUCCUCCAGCCCCCAGCCCCAGCAAAGGAAGGCGGAGGUGUACAUCUGGACGGGUCUGCUACUCCGUUCUCUAUUCAAUCAGAGAUCCCUGAGUAAAUCUCCUCCUUUGAUUUUUAUUUGGGCUAAUAAUCUUUGCACCUCUUUUCUCUGUCAGAUAAACCCAGAGAAGAGUCUUUGCUUUGUCCAGACCUCCCAUUUAUUAUGCAUGACUCAGGAAGCCCCUUUGGGUAGAAAUUCAAAGUGAUAUUAGAGGCAGAAAUACAACUUCAGAGAGGCAGGUCUUGGGGAAGCCAUCCUGGCCAUUCUUGAGCUGUGUGUUUGUAGGAACUAAUAUUAUGGUCGUCGUACAUAGCAUUUUAGGCAUUGAUUCUGGAAUUCGCUUAUUAGAGCUGAGCUCCAGAAAUGAGCUGCAUUCCAUGUGAGAGACGGAACACAUAUGCUUGGCAUUUUGCUUUCUGCCUGUUUGUCCUACCAUUGCCUGGUAAUGAGAAACCAGGUGUUCCUAAUUCUCUUCCUCUGUCUCUUUAACUUUAUCUCACAUCAAGGAAGACACCGUUGAGUGAGUAACUUGUGACUUCAUUGACUCUCCUGCAGACUCCCGAAGUCAUCACUCUGCACUGACACCUUCACCUUCCUUUAGAUACUGUGUGUGUUUCUAAUUCUCUUUGGAUUAUUCAUCAUCAGUGUGCUGGUCCUGGUUGCGGGUUUCCAGGAUGUAUGUACCUCACCAGGAUGGUGAAAGGGUAGAGACCCCAGGGGCGCUUAUUGCAGAACUGAUGCCAUCACCCUGGCCUCAAAUCUAGAAGCAGCUCGGUGUAGUUCUUAUAAACUCCAAAGUUAAAAAGUGAAUUUUUAAAAAGGACUGAAACAUUGCACUAUCUCCAGGACAUCAGAUUUCCUUGGAGACUUUGGAAGAAAUAAAAUCAAGUAAAGAUUCGGGUCAGACGCUAAGAAAAGUAUGAAUAGGAGAGAUAAUUUUUUAAACGAAGGCAGAAGCAUGGAUUGAAUUGGGAGUAAAUUUUACCUUGUGGCAAGGGUAGCUCAUAGAGCCCAAACAAGGAGAUCCAAAAGCAAAACUUUCCUGUGACUGCAUUCAAAAGUGGAACCAGCAUAAAGGAGUAUUAGAGUUGUGCCUCCGUGAAGAGUGAUAACAAGAGCUGUGGCCCAAGGACAUGGAACAAAUGACAGAAGUCAAACAGUGACUUCCUCAAAUAAAAAUCAGGUCUAGAAAACUAACUCUCAAGUCCCCCUGGGAGAUAAGACCAUGGCUUUUUAUCUCAAAAGAACCAAUCCCUAUAGACUAGAAGAACAAUUAGAACAAAUUCGGACCAGUUUGCGAGGGCUUGGCUGGGAGGACCAGGAUCAGUCCUGCUAGCUCUGUUCGAUGAGCUUGAAGAUGACAGGUUUAUUCAAAUGGGGUAGUAGGCAGAGUCCUGCAAGGGAACAUGCUCCUGGGGCAUAUGAUGCAUGAGUCGGAGCCAGUAGUCUCAAAGUGACUGUCUUUGGGUUAUGUUGGACUUGGAAAUAUAUAUGUUUUGCUAAUAAACUUUAAAAUAUUAAUUUAAAAAUAAGAAUAUGGAGAUUUAGGGAGUUCCAGUCGUGGCGCAGUAGAAACGAAUCUGACUAGGAAUUGUGAGGUUGUGGGUUCGAUUCCUGGCCUUGCUCAGUGGGUUAAGGAUCUGGCGUUGCUGUGAGCUGUGGUAUAGGCUGGAGGCUACAGCUCCAAUUAGACCCCUAGCCUGGGAACCUCCAUGUAGCACAGGAGCAGCCCCCCCCCCCCAAAAAAAAAGAGAGAGAAUAUGGAGAUUUCAAAUAAAACAUUCCAGGGAUAGACACACUGGCACCCUAGGCUCACCACCUCAUGGGGCAGCCAUCAGCUGGAGCCAGCAGUGAGGUCAUUCCAGGUGGGGAUUUUUCUCCCCAGGUUAUUCAUUCUUCCACUUGUCCCCCUUUCUCUCUUUUUGGUCACCUCUGAAGGCAUUUGGGUUGCUCCAUCUGUUUAAAAGCGAGGUACAGACAAAAUGAGACACACCUAAGGGAGCUGGCCGGCAAAUAAAAAGCACAGACCCGACCUGGGCUGGAUGAUGGAUUGAAGGAAGGAUGUCAUGGGGCACAGUUUGCCUCCUCUGCCAGGUAAAGUGGAGGCCAGCUUUGGGUGAACAAAAGAGGCCAUUCAGCUCAUAGCUCUUAUUAGGUGCCUUGUCACAAAACCGAGUUUAGAGGUAGAGGGUUGAGGAAAAACAUGUCAUGGGUCACGGGUCAGGAUAAAUGGUUGAAUCAUAGCAGCUCCGACUGUAGGGACCCUUCUGACCUGUGGCAAAUGAGGAUGUGUCCCCUGUAAACCUCUUCAGAUGCAACACCAGCUGUGGAAGGGGUCCCAAGACGGAACUGAUAGAAACGUACUUACAGGCUCUUGAUAUUUGGAGUUGAUAGCAUUUGAGAGGAAUUGGUGGGGAUGCCAUUGGUGGGAGAAGAUAGGACCCCAGCAGAAGUAGUGUUGCUUUGAAAGACCUCACAGCCAAGAAAGGGGCUUUGGCACAUGGUAUUCAUGGGAUUGUAAAAAACUGUUACGGAGCAGAAUUUAAAAACUGGAAUUAAUGUGUUUUAGGAGUUGUAACAAAUAGCCUUAUGUAAGUGGAGGAUUAUUUUUCCUUAGGAAAGUAACUCUGAUGCGGAAAGUGAAGCCCCUCGAAUGUCAUGUGUUCAGAGAAUAAAACAAAGGUGAGAGGGACUGAGUGUUUGGAUCCUUCCAAAAUUCAUGUUUUGAAUUCUAACCCUCUAGUUAAUGGUAUUAAGAGGUAGAGCCUUUGGGAGGUGAUUAGGUCCCAGGCGGGAUUUCAGUGCCUUAUGAGAGAGACAAGGACAACGCUCCAGUGUCAGGAUGUCUGACCCACUGUAAGAAUAAGGAUGAUCAGCAUCCCCUGCUAUUCUCAAUGAUGUGCCUUAAACUCCUUCACAUCCAAAACCUUCGUGAAAAUCCACUCACCACAGCAAUGCCAUGAGCUUGAAGGGGGAAGGAAAGAAAAACCGCCGAGUUCCACGUCUGGAGCCGAGGAAAGAAAAUGCCCACAGGAGAUGAGAUAGAAGCAGGAUGAACCAAGAUCAAAAGUUC
This 6265-nucleotide long non-coding RNA is filed under the name Sus scrofa (pig). RNAcentral's name for it is "lncRNA (ENSSSCG00050039396.1)". The record is from RNAcentral. Lineage: Eukaryota; Metazoa; Chordata; Mammalia; Artiodactyla; Suidae.